AUGCAACAUUUUAUUUUUGCCAUGAAUAAUACCUUUUGUCAUGAUGACCUAGGUUGCUCUUGAUGAAGAGUAGUUGUCUUGUGAUUUUUUGGGGAUUAUUGCUAUUUAGUAGGUAGUAGGAAUAUUGUUUAAAAAUUUUUUUAACAUCUUAUUUUUAUUUCUAUUGAUUUCAAAAACAUCAGAGCUAGAAUUCCAAAUGUUUUAUGUUAUUAACAUAAGUUGUAGUCUUACAUAGUAUUAGUUGUCUCAUUUAUUUUAUUUUCUUUGCACCUCACCUCUCUCAAUUGUUCACAUAGGCUCCAGGACUCUUUUGCA
This 315-nucleotide unclassified non-coding RNA is filed under the name Hevea brasiliensis (rubber tree). The record is from RNAcentral. Lineage: Eukaryota; Viridiplantae; Streptophyta; Magnoliopsida; Malpighiales; Euphorbiaceae.